This 622-nucleotide ribosomal RNA is filed under the name Halomonas sp. C-8. Its description in RNAcentral is "bacterial SSU rRNA". It matches the Rfam family "Bacterial small subunit ribosomal RNA", at positions 778 to 1399 of the family's 1533-position model. Lineage: Bacteria; Pseudomonadati; Pseudomonadota; Gammaproteobacteria; Oceanospirillales; Halomonadaceae. The record is from RNAcentral.
UUAGAUACCCUGGUAGUCCACGCCGUAAACGAUGUCGACCAGCCGUUGGGUGCCUAGCGCACUUUGUGGCGAAGUUAACGCGAUAAGUCGACCGCCUGGGGAGUACGGCCGCAAGGUUAAAACUCAAAUGAAUUGACGGGGGCCCGCACAAGCGGUGGAGCAUGUGGUUUAAUUCGAUGCAACGCGAAGAACCUUACCUACUCUUGACAUCCUGCGAACUUGUGAGAGAUCACUUGGUGCCUUCGGGAACGCAGAGACAGGUGCUGCAUGGCUGUCGUCAGCUCGUGUUGUGAAAUGUUGGGUUAAGUCCCGUAACGAGCGCAACCCUUGUCCUUAUUUGCCAGCGCGUAAUGGCGGGAACUCUAAGGAGACUGCCGGUGACAAACCGGAGGAAGGUGGGGACGACGUCAAGUCAUCAUGGCCCUUACGAGUAGGGCUACACACGUGCUACAAUGGCCGGUACAAAGGGUUGCGAGCUCGCGAGAGUCAGCUAAUCCCGAAAAGCCGGUCUCAGUCCGGAUCGGAGUCUGCAACUCGACUCCGUGAAGUCGGAAUCGCUAGUAAUCGUGAAUCAGAAUGUCACGGUGAAUACGUUCCCGGGCCUUGUACACACCGCCCGUCA